RNAcentral lists this long non-coding RNA (429 nucleotides) under Heterocephalus glaber (naked mole-rat). RNAcentral's name for it is "lncRNA (ENSHGLG00000036518.1)". The record is from RNAcentral. Lineage: Eukaryota; Metazoa; Chordata; Mammalia; Rodentia; Bathyergidae.
GGGUGAGUGGUUUUCCUUUCUUACAAAGACUUUCUCAUUUUUAGUUGUUUAGUUCUUUUCACUAUUUUUCUUUCUUUUUUGUUGGUUAUUUUUGUGUCUUAUUGAAGUUCAAAUUUUAUUUGUGAAUUGCUCAAAUUUCUGUGUGUACAUUACAUCUGGCAUCAGCUUUUUUUCCCUUUGGGAAAUUGGAGUUAAUUUAAUGGAAACAUCUAAAAGAAGCCCGAGGCUUAGUUAUGAAGCCCCAUUUCACAGAUGAAGAAGCCGAGGCACUAAGAGGAAAAAAAUAAAUGGAUGAAAUCUGAAAAGUUGAAGCUCUGGACUGCCUCAGGCUGACUUUCAUGAUUCUUCUUACUGCAAUCUCUUGAAUUCUAGGUCAUCUGUGUUUACUUUUGGAGAAUCCAUGCAGUGUUGAUGUCCCCUGCUUUGAGG